AAGGAUUGCCAACCCAAUAGAAAGACCACCUAUGAUAUCAAUCAAACUGUGCAUGCCAAGAUAAACUCUUCCCAAACCAAUGAAGCCCACAAGCAAGCAAACAAUGGCAAAUCCAGCAAACUCGACACAGAAAUCUUGAUUUUGGGUAUAAGACAGGACAUAGUGCAAUAGGUACCCAGAUAAGCAAACAGUGUUAAGAGUGUGGGAAGAAGGCAAUCCGUACUCCAAAGCGUUAUCUUCCUCAUCUUUUGUGGCAGUUAUUCUUCUAACAGGAGGACACUUGGGUCUAGGAGCUGAUACCACAUCCUUUAUGCAAUUCCCUGCAUAAUCACAGAAAGCCAUUAGAA
RNAcentral lists this unclassified non-coding RNA (347 nucleotides) under Hevea brasiliensis (rubber tree). Lineage: Eukaryota; Viridiplantae; Streptophyta; Magnoliopsida; Malpighiales; Euphorbiaceae. The record is from RNAcentral.